Molecule: ribosomal RNA, 421 nt
Filed under: uncultured bacterium
Lineage: Bacteria
Description: bacterial SSU rRNA
Rfam family: Bacterial small subunit ribosomal RNA
Source: RNAcentral
GAGGAAUAUUGGGCAAUGCCCGCAAGGGUGACCCAGCAACGCCGCGUGGAGGAUGAAUGUCGUAAGAUUGUAAACUCCUGUUAGAGGGGAAGAAUAGUACCGGUUGGACCGGUAUAUGACUGUACCCUCAGAGAAAGCCCCGGCUAACUACGUGCCAGCAGCCGCGGUAAUACGUAGGGGGCAAGCGUUGUCCGGAUUUACUGGGUGUAAAGGGUGCGCAGGCGGAUGGGUAAGUCAGGGGUGAAAGUCUGCAGCUUAACUGUAGAAUUGCCUUUGAUACUGCUCAGCUUGAGUGUGGGAGAGGUUGAGGGAAUUCCAGGUGUAGCAGUGAAAUGCGUAGAUAUCUGGAAGAACACCAGUGGCGAAGGCGGUCAACUGGCCCAUAACUGACGCUCAUGCACGAAAGCGUGGGGAGCAAACA